AGUGCGCAAUUAAACGGUCAUCAAACAAGUAAAAUAUGUGCAAUUGGACAUGUUUCCAGUAAAACUCGAUCAUAUUGCUUAUAUGGUAUGUACUAAGAGUCGUUCUUUCCAGUGUCAUAUUACUUGGUAGUAAAUAUUAAAAUGUUUUAUAUUCAAAUUGCAUUAAAAGAAAUCAAAAAAAUGUCUCAAUUGCACAAAAUUUACUUGUUUGAUGAUUCGAUUAGUUCAGUUGCCUAAUUGCGCAGAAGGGGAAU
Long non-coding RNA from Ipomoea nil (Japanese morning glory), 254 nucleotides. RefSeq lists it as uncharacterized. Lineage: Eukaryota; Viridiplantae; Streptophyta; Magnoliopsida; Solanales; Convolvulaceae. The transcript has 3 exons. The record is from RefSeq and is a predicted model, not a curated record.